AGAACAGGUAUUUAAGAGCCUACUAUGUGUCAGAUGUGCUACAUUAUACAAUCAUUUUCUCAUUUUAUCCUGACAACAAUCAUGUGAAGCAUCCUGCCCCUGUGGAGACUCACUUGGAAAACGAAGUUGAAUGUCACAGGCACCAGAGACCCAAACACAGAGGCCCAUGUGAGAAUGAAGACAGUGAAUGAAGAAUGAAAGAAUGAAGAAUGAGGAAAGAAAGAAGAUGAAGACAGUGAUCUUCUUUAUCAUCCUCUUUAUACUGUACUUUGGGGGCUCCCUUCUCAUCAUCAAGAGCUACUCUUCAUCUGUUAUUAGUCAUUAAAGUUCAAUGGCAAGAAAAAAGUCAAGAUAUCUGGAGCUUGUCCUGGAUGUCAUGGAUGACCUUGGCAUCCUCAAUGUCUGACCAAGCCUUAAGCAUUACCCUAGAGCCUCCUUCAUCCUCCUUCAUUGGCAUUGAAACAAAUUCUUCUCAUCUACCCAUUCUUCCUGGAGAAGUCAUUACAUAGCAGACAUGUACACGAUCAAGAAAAAAAAAACAACAACAAGAAUAUGUCUGCCUGAAUUAACGUGACCAACAGACUGAGAUGGAAAUCAUUGUGAAAGCAACCACUUGUCAGAAGCUUAUUAUGAUUUCAUCCUCCCCAAGAAAUGCUUAGUUUUUUAAAGGACAUUUUGUGGGCUAGUAAAAUGGACACAGAUAUAGGUUUGGGUAUGUAGUAGGGGAAGUGAGAAGAAUGAGGAUUAAAAAUGAGACCUGAACAAUAAGUAGUAGGGAUUCAUUACUUUAGAGUCACU
Molecule: long non-coding RNA, 798 nt
Filed under: Monodelphis domestica (gray short-tailed opossum)
Lineage: Eukaryota; Metazoa; Chordata; Mammalia; Didelphimorphia; Didelphidae
Description: lncRNA (ENSMODG00000051092.1)
Source: RNAcentral